GGGUGAUUAGCUCAGUUGGUAGAGUAUCUCCCUUACAAGGAGGAGGUCGGCGGUUCAAAUCCGUCAUCACCCA
Molecule: transfer RNA, 73 nt
Filed under: Enterobacteriaceae endosymbiont of Donacia cincticornis
Lineage: Bacteria; Pseudomonadati; Pseudomonadota; Gammaproteobacteria; Enterobacterales; Enterobacteriaceae
Description: tRNA-Val
Rfam family: tRNA
About the family: Transfer RNA (tRNA) molecules are approximately 80 nucleotides in length.
Source: RNAcentral